AUAGAUUGUUUAAUAAAUUAACAGUAUUGUCUCUGAGGUAGACAAAUGUGAACGAACUUUCCCCCUACAUGCUAGUCAAUUCUUAAUCAUGGUAACUUUUGUUUCUUUUAUAUUUAAUUCUAAACUGUGUUUACAUCUUAAAAUUAAUUUAUCUUAAAUUUUUACUUUUUAUAUCAUGGUAAAGUCCUUUUAGUCCCACAAAUGUUUUUUAUCUUUUUUUUUUUUUGAAAGUUUUUACUUAUGAUCUAUACAUCAAAAGGUUACACACUCUAAUGGCUUUCAAAAGUCAACACAAAACUCUUUUGACUUAGAAAUUAAGCCAAAUCGCUUCUCGGCCUCAAGAAAUUAAGCCAAGAUACCCGUAAAAAUCUUUUAAAGUCAUCAGUAUGGUUUGUUUCCUAUGAGAUUUAAUUCAUCCUUUUUCCUGUAUAGCUAAAAAUUAGAGGUUAUAUUUUUUCCUUAAACUUGAAAAAACUGCUCCAAGAAUUUCUCUUAUAAUAAUGGUGUCUGUUUUUUGGCUUUGGAUAAUGUAAUUAUGUUUAUAUAGGUGUUUGUAUUUUUGAAUAUUUAUAGUUUUGGCAAAUUUCAUAUUUUAUAAGUUUUUCUUUUUUUUCAUUUUAAAGGAUUUUUUUCAUUAUUAAAGUACAUUGAUUACUUG
This 658-nucleotide long non-coding RNA is filed under the name Mus musculus (house mouse). RNAcentral's name for it is "long non-coding RNA chr2:119105823-119106481". The record is from RNAcentral. Lineage: Eukaryota; Metazoa; Chordata; Mammalia; Rodentia; Muridae.